AGCAACCAAGGCGAUGGAGUUCGCCGAUAACCGCCUGUCGAACAGACGGCUAAUGACUCCUGCGAUCCC
RNAcentral lists this non-coding RNA (69 nucleotides) under Deltaproteobacteria bacterium. Its description in RNAcentral is "Fluoride sequence". It matches the Rfam family "Fluoride riboswitch aptamer (crcB RNA motif)". The record is from RNAcentral. Lineage: Bacteria; Pseudomonadati; Myxococcota; Myxococcia.